GGCUAGAAACACCUGCCGAGCCCCCAAAGGUUCCUACCCUAUAUAGGCUGACCCGCCCAUCAAUCAGAUGCUGCCAUACAUCAUAAAUCGGCUCUUACAGGUAGUGUGUCUAUGUGUACAUCUCAAUAUUAAUGUGUCUAUGUGUACAUCUCAAUAUUAAUGUGUAUAUGUAUACAUCUCAAUAUUAAUGUGUAUAUGUGUACAUCUCAAUAUUAAUGAUCUAUGUGUACAUCUCAAUAUUAAUGAUCUAUGUGUACAUGUCUCAACACAUCUCAUUUAUCUAUUUAAUCACUCCUCUCUCUCCCCCUCCACACUCCCAUGUAUCCAUGAUGUAUGGUAAACGUGUGACAGGACUAAAAUUGGCAAAUAAGUGGACUUGUUUACAACAACACAAAGGCUACAGGACUCUCAUUCAUCCGUCAUGAGUCAACAGCGGCGCGUCAAUGAGGGUUUCCGGAAAAAAAUGCCUCAGUGGCUUAAAGCGUUUGCUUAGUCUCUACGUUCAAAGUCAAAACUGUUUUUCUUAUACCGGCUAGAAACACCUGCCGAGCCCCCAAAGGUUCCUACCCUAUAUAGGCUGACCCGCCCAUCAAUCAGAUGCUGCCAUACAUCAUAAAUCGGCUCUUACAGGUAGUGUGUCUAUGUGUACAUCUCAAUAUUAAUGUGUCUAUGUGAACAUCUCAAUAUUAAUGAUCUAUGUGUACAUCUCAAUAUUAAUAAUCUAUGUGUACAUAUAAAUUGUUAUGAUCUUUGGGUAUCUAAAUGUUAAGGUGUGUCUAAAUAUUUAUGAUCUAAGGCCGGCUCCCAGCCGCCGUCCUCCUCUUCUUCAUCAAAUUCGCCUUCCAUUUAACAACAGUCAACCAGUUCGUAUGUAUUUUACCCGGGCAGACAGCUAUGUUCUGAAAGUUUAUACUAACCUUUCAGAGAAAAUGUUUGUGUCCACGAGCUUAUGUUAGCCUCGCAGAAUUAAUUUAUGCUGAAAGUUUAUACUAACCUUUCAGAGAAAAUGUUUGUUUCCACGAGCUUAUGUUAGCCUCGCAGAAUUAAUUU
Long non-coding RNA from Gasterosteus aculeatus aculeatus (three-spined stickleback), 1050 nucleotides. NCBI's taxonomy places the organism in Eukaryota, Metazoa, Chordata, Actinopteri, Perciformes, Gasterosteidae. The record is from Ensembl.